This 305-nucleotide ribosomal RNA is filed under the name uncultured bacterium. Its description in RNAcentral is "bacterial SSU rRNA". It matches the Rfam family "Bacterial small subunit ribosomal RNA", at positions 333 to 655 of the family's 1533-position model. The record is from RNAcentral.
UCCUUCCUACGGGACGCAGCAGUGGGGGAUAUUGCACAAUGGGGGAAACCCUGAUGCAGCGACGCCGCGUGGGUGAAGAAGCGCCUCGGCGCGUAAAGCCCCGUCAGCAGGGAAGAAAAUGACGGUACCUGAAGAAGAAGCCCCGGCUAACUACGUGCCAGCAGCCGCGGUAAUACGUAGGGGGCAAGCGUUAUCCGGAUUUACUGGGUGUAAAGGGGGCGCAGACGGCGAUGCAAGCCAGGAGUGAAAGCCCGGGGCCCAACCCCGGGACUGCUCUUGGAACUGCGUGGCUAGCGUGCAGGGGG